This 253-nucleotide ribosomal RNA is filed under the name uncultured bacterium. RNAcentral's name for it is "partial 16S ribosomal RNA". It matches the Rfam family "Bacterial small subunit ribosomal RNA", at positions 524 to 776 of the family's 1533-position model. The record is from RNAcentral.
UACAGAGGUCCCAAGCGUUGUUCGGAUUCAUUGGGCGUAAAGGGUGCGCAGGUGGGUUGGCAAGUUUGAUGUGAAAGCCCCGGGCUUAACCCGGGAAUGGCAUUGAAUACUGCUGAUCUGGAGGAUUGGAGGGGGGACUGGAAUUCUUGGUGUAGCAGUGAAAUGCGUAGAUAUCAAGAGGAACACCAGUGGCGAAGGCGAGUCCCUGGACAAUACCUGACACUGAGGCACGAAAGCUAGGGGAGCAAACAGG